AUGGCAGUGGGGAGGAGGAACCAUAAAAAUGGGGAUCAGAGGCCAAUUAUUUUCAUGGAAAUAGAAAAAUUGGAAGAUGGAGGUUCUUUCAAUCCUUCUACAAACUUUUCACUCAAAAGCAAAGGAGCAAUUAGUGUUUCAUUGCUCUCUCAUGCUCAAAGAGCUCUCUCUCUGUGUUUUCUGUUUCUCUCCAUCUAAUUUUUACUAAUGCAGGCCUUUGCCAUUUAUCUGUGACCUACGAUGGCAUCUUCUAAAACAUAUGUAGUUUCUGCAUUGUCAAUAUUUGAAAAGAUGACUUGUUUCUCUUAAAUUCCAUGCCUGUUGGUGUUUUCCUGUGUUUAGAAGGACAAGGCAAGUUAUCUGCCUUUUUCAUCUCACACUAAAGUUUUAUCUCUCACUUGAGGAUCGUUUUCCUCAAAGAAGCAAAGAUUUUAUCACUCACUAGAGUAACUAUGUACACAAGAUGAAUAGAGAACAACAAACCCAUGUUGAGAUGCUGAUGUUGAGCAGUUAGCUCGACAACUGAACUGAGCAAUACAGAUGUCUGUAAGAAAGGCAAUUCAGCUCAUUCCCGAAUACAUGAAACUUAGUUAAGUCUGUGACUUCCUGGGGAUCCAUGCCAUAGCAUUUAUCUCUCUGUAUCAACAGUGAGUGUUCAUGUCUUUUUCUCUUUAACCAUAUCUUGAGUCCCAUGUCUUCUUUAAAGAAGUAAAGUCCCAAAUAUAGUAGCCCAUUACAGAAACUAAGUAAAUAUUUGUUGAAUGAAUGAAUGAAGAGUUAUUUAUCAGAGAAGUGUAGUAUUCAUUCCGAGCACAUCUCAUAUAACAAUUUUUGGACCAGGUCAUUUUAAAGAAAUGUCCAUGAGGCGGAGCACAUCCUAACUCUAAGCAGGUGUAUAUUUAUUCUUUGUCUGCAGAAUAUAGAGGAAAUGCAUCUAGAAGUUUGUGGAUAGGCACAAUCCUGCCAUCUUUGUUUUCAGGUAAAGAAGUUGGUCAUGUUGUACAUACUGGAUCAACAUGACUGGGUUAUUGGGUUUCUCUAGGGCAUCUCGUACUCAGGAGCCCUAACCUCUGG
This 1074-nucleotide long non-coding RNA is filed under the name Callithrix jacchus (white-tufted-ear marmoset). RNAcentral's name for it is "lncRNA (ENSCJAG00000080764.1)". The record is from RNAcentral. Lineage: Eukaryota; Metazoa; Chordata; Mammalia; Primates; Cebidae.